AUUGAACGCUGGCGGUAGGCCUAACACAUGCAAGUCGAACGCGAAAGUCCUUCGGGAUGAGUAGAGUGGCGGACGGGUGAGUAACGCGUAGGAAUCUAUCCUGUAGUGGGGGAUAACGUUUCGAAAGGAACGCUAAUACCGCAUACGCCCCACGGGGGAAAGCGGGGGAUCUUCGGCCCUCGUGCUAUAGGAGGAGCCUGCGUCGGAUUAGCUAGUUGGUGAGGUAAAGGCCCACCAAGGCGACGAUCCGUAGCUGGUCUGAGAGGAUGAUCAGCCACACCGGAACUGAGACACGGUCCGGACUCCUACGGAAGGCAGCAGUGGGGAAUAUUGCGCAAUGGGCGAAAGCCUGACGCAGCCAUACCGCGUGUGUGAAGAAGGCCUUCGGGUUGUAAAGCACGUUCAGUGGGGAGGAAAAGCUGGUGGCUAAUAUCCACCGGCCGUGACGCUACCCACAGAAGAAGCACCGGCUAAUUCCGUGCCAGCAGCCGCGGUAA
This 497-nucleotide ribosomal RNA is filed under the name uncultured bacterium. RNAcentral describes it as "partial 16S ribosomal RNA". It matches the Rfam family "Bacterial small subunit ribosomal RNA", at positions 29 to 523 of the family's 1533-position model. The record is from RNAcentral.